This 253-nucleotide ribosomal RNA is filed under the name uncultured bacterium. RNAcentral describes it as "partial 16S ribosomal RNA". It matches the Rfam family "Bacterial small subunit ribosomal RNA", at positions 524 to 776 of the family's 1533-position model. The record is from RNAcentral.
UACGUAGGGGGCAAGCGUUGUCCGGAAUCAUUGGGCGUAAAGAGCGUGUAGGCGGCCCGAUAAGUCCGCCGUGAAAGUCCAGGGCUCAACCCUGGAAUGCCGGUGGAAACUGUCGGGCUGGAGUCCGGAAGAGGCGAGUGGAAUUCCUGGUGUAGCGGUGAAAUGCGCAGAUAUCAGGAGGAACACCGAUGGCGAAGGCAGCUCGCUGGGACGGUACUGACGCUGAGGCGCGAAAGCGUGGGGAGCAAAUAGG